UUGGAUCUUUUAUGACUUUAUUAUGGGAUAACAGAAAAAGUGACAACAUCUGCUGGGUCAAAAAUAUACAGUACAUAGAGCAGUGCUAAUAUUUGGUUACAUGUCCCAUGGCCAUUUUCACUUCCAUUAGGCGCUCAUAUGCAGUGACUGCAUGGAAUGGAAUCAUGAUGUGCAUGUUCUCUUACAUUAUAUGGUUUAAUGGAGUUUUAUACAUUGCAACAAAGUAUAUUUAUGUUUUCAACAACCAUUACCUGAUGACAUUUUAAAUGUAUGGUAUGUAUGGGACACGCUUCUGAUACAAAACUUUCCGAAACAAAAGUACAAGCACAUGUUAAAAACAAUGUAAAAUUGUACAAUUAACAAUCUUUAAGUGCUUUUGCUGGGCAAAACAUUUAAGUACAAUAUUCCAUUGUGCAAGCAAUUUGUAGUCAUAUUAGUUUAAUUCGAAUGAGUUUAAUGUGUCUACGAUGAAUAAAUAUUUUUUCAGGAAAAUAUAUUACAAUUUAAUUGAAUAAAAACACCAAAGUCAAUUAGACAAAAUGUUGCAGUCAGUACUGUCGUAACUGUGCUCCUUUAUCAGUAUCACUGCACGGCAUGUAUCAGUCUGCUUCACUGUCCUUUUUAUAACACUUAUGGAUUGAUUUCCCUUUACUGUGAGCUAGCUAACAUCUCUCCAACACAACAUUAGAAUGAUGUUAUCUACACUGCAUUCCACAAGGAAUAUUAUUUUUAAAGAAUGUAGAUGAAAAAUCACUGACAUGUAACCCUUAGAUUUACCAAAUUAAAAUCUGUUCAAAAACAUCAUGAUCACGGAAUCACAAUCAAGUAAAAAUCCAUGCUAAACACGAUUCAUGUUGAGGUAUUAGAGCAUGGGACGUAAACAAAGCAAGUAUAUGGCACAAUCAGUAAAUACGAGUGAUGGAUGGACGAGUGGUGGGUGUUCUCCUGACGGGUCGUCACCAGGCCCCCAGCAGCUUCCUGUGCUCCUGCUUGAUGCAGCUGUAGAUGGGGUGGUAGAAGCGGCGGUCGGGCACCAUGAGGUCGGUGACGAUCUCGGUGUGGUCGACGCGGGGGAGCAGGUAGAGCGACACCUUCACGGACAGCGAGGUGAGGAGGUCGCAGAACUUUGCGGAGGAAUCGAAGGGGACGAUGAUGUCGUCGGUCCCGUGGAGCAGAGCAAACGGAGGGAUUCUGGCAGAGGUGAAAAGCAGAGAGGAUUGUGGGUGUUUAAAAUAAAAAAAAGAAUAAGCAGAUUCAACAGAUGUUUUUUAUGUGAGGUUGUUAUUCUGGUGCCACCUGUCCAGCUUGUCCCGGCUCAGCCUCUUCAGUAAGUGUGUCGGCGAGUAGUACGGGAAGUUCUCCACUCCAUUCAUGGCUUUGUGCAUGGUGGAGACGUACUCGACUCCCCGCUUCUGCUCGUGCUCGUAAUGGUCCACGAUGUUGUACACGCCACUCAGACC
Molecule: long non-coding RNA, 1460 nt
Organism: Gasterosteus aculeatus aculeatus (three-spined stickleback)
Lineage: Eukaryota; Metazoa; Chordata; Actinopteri; Perciformes; Gasterosteidae
Source: Ensembl